This 279-nucleotide unclassified non-coding RNA is filed under the name plant metagenome. Its description in RNAcentral is "partial contains small subunit ribosomal RNA, internal transcribed spacer 1, and 5.8S ribosomal RNA". The record is from RNAcentral.
UUUCCGUAGGUGAACCUGCGGAAGGAUCAUUAUUGAAUAACCGAGGUGCGAGGGCUGUCGCUGACCCGAACGGUCGUGCACGCCCCAGUGUCACACCACACAUCCAUCUCACGCCUAUGUGCACCACCGCGCGGGUCAUCCUCUGGCCUGUUCGGACGGGGGCUUACGUUUACACACAAACUCUGUAUGCAGCGUAGUAUGAAUUUUUAGUUCUUACGAUUUCGCUAUCAAUACAACUUUCAACACCGGAUCUCUUGGCUGUCGCAUCGUGGAAGAACG